AGUAUAUCUCCCUCCGUCCGGAAAUACUUGUGAGAGAAAUUGAUGUAUCUAGACAUAUUUUAAUUCUAAAUAUAUCAGUUAUUAUCCAUUUUUGCGACAAGUAUUUCCAGACGGAGGGAGUAGUUA
Molecule: non-coding RNA, 126 nt
Organism: Triticum aestivum (bread wheat)
Lineage: Eukaryota; Viridiplantae; Streptophyta; Magnoliopsida; Poales; Poaceae
Source: Rfam